Molecule: transfer RNA, 73 nt
Filed under: Pangasianodon hypophthalmus (striped catfish)
Lineage: Eukaryota; Metazoa; Chordata; Actinopteri; Siluriformes; Pangasiidae
Description: tRNA-Glu
Source: RNAcentral
UCUCUGGUGGUCUAGCGGCUAAUGAUCUUGCGCGCUCACCGCCAUAGCCUGAGUCCGAUUCCCGGGCAGAGAA